RNAcentral lists this ribosomal RNA (435 nucleotides) under uncultured Lachnospiraceae bacterium. RNAcentral's name for it is "bacterial SSU rRNA". It matches the Rfam family "Bacterial small subunit ribosomal RNA", at positions 341 to 792 of the family's 1533-position model. The record is from RNAcentral. Lineage: Bacteria; Bacillati; Bacillota; Clostridia; Lachnospirales; Lachnospiraceae.
ACGGAAGGCAGCAGUGGGGAAUAUUGCACAAUGGGGGGAACCCUGAUGCAGCGACGCCGCGUGAGUGAAGAAGUAUUUCGGUAUGUAAAGCUCUAUCAGCAGGGAAGAAACAGGACGGUACCUGCACAAGAAGCCCCGGCUAACUACGUGCCAGCAGCCGCGGUAAUACGUAGGGGGCAAGCGUUAUCCGGAUUUACUGGGUGUAAAGGGAGCGUAGACGGCUGUGUAAGUCUGGAGUGAAACUCCGCGGCUCAACUGCGGAACUGCUCUGGAAACUAUACAGCUUGAGUACCGGAGGGGUAGGCGGAACUCCUAGUGUAGCGGUGAAAUGCGUAGAUAUUAGGAAGAACACCGGCGGCGAAGGCGGCCUACUGGACGGAAACUGACGUUGAGGCUCGAAAGCGUGGGGAGCAAACAGGAUUAGAUACCCUGGUA